AUUCAGGCAGUUGCUGAUGCCUCUAGUUGCUGUUGAUUACAAGAUAGUCUUUAACUUGUGCUGUUCUAUUAGAGGGCAAUAAAUCCGAAGUGCAGAGUAGAGUAACCCAACCUCUCUUGAACUUUGGAAUGUAGUGGGAAAUACCAUCAAGAUAAUAUUCUCAGCUCUAUAUACUUUCAAGAUUGGCUUGCCAGAGUAUCAGUCAAAUUCAGACAGCUGCCAGUCCUUCAGAUGUUGCUUAUGGAAUCAUGUGAGGGAAGAUUAGGGACACUGGUGGAAAGGGACCAGCAUCUCAGGGUUUCUGCCCAUGAGUCAGUGAAAUGAGGUCAUGUUUCAGAGUAACGGUGAUGCCUCUUGGUCUGUUCUGAGGGGAACUGGUUCAAUGAUUUGUGGAAGAGAAUGAAACCCAUUACUGCUAUAUCCGUGUUUAUGUCCAGCUCCACUGCAAGGUCAUUGUUCCAUUUGCCUGUGAAAGUCACGAAAACAACACGUCUGGCCUACCUCAGCGUUUAGCAAUGUGCUUGGUACUAACAAGAUAAUCAAUGCUUGUUGAAUUGAAUUUCACCUGCGCACUCCUUAAGAUGAAUACUUUUUGUGUCAUUUUGAAGCUCUCAAGAUUGUACAAUGUACAGUCUAUUUAGUGACAGCUUUCAAUUUUGCUAAAAGGAUUUGGGGAAGAGCACUCUAUUCAAUGUAUUCUUCAAUUGUGAGAUAAAUCC
Molecule: long non-coding RNA, 719 nt
Filed under: Rhinopithecus bieti (black snub-nosed monkey)
Lineage: Eukaryota; Metazoa; Chordata; Mammalia; Primates; Cercopithecidae
Description: lncRNA (ENSRBIG00000045407.1)
Source: RNAcentral